UUUUUUUUGACAAAGCAGAUAAUCAUCUGGGUUUGGGGGAGCUUCAGACCUGGAAUGAAACACCUGAGGUAUUUUAUUGUGGUAAAUAAGAUGUAGAGGAACACUUCAGUUUUUUGCUACCUUGACUCUCUCAUAGUUCUCCCGUGUUUUCCACAUGUCAUAUGUUGUCUAACUCUGACAAAGUAGGAAAGGUCAUAAAUUUCCCAACCUUUCAUUUUCUGAACCAUUUACCCAAAAGUGUCAGUUGUGGUGGCAGGUAUCUCCAUGUGACAAUGUGACUCACCAGACUGGGACCUCUAAGCAGCUGCAAAUUGAUAUGAUUUUGUGGCUUUUUGAUGCUUGAUUAAACAGGACCCAGAAUAUUUUAAGCUAUUAACCUAUGGAGAAUUGACACCUGUCUCUUGGACUGUGGUGGACACAUCUUCAGUCAAGUGAGAAAUUGCAGCGUCCCAAUGUGCCGUGGUCAGCAUAGAUAAGCAGUGCUGUGGCAUCACCACUGAACACUGUGAAGCAGGAUUUGAUAGCCAAAAGCAAGGACCCUACUAGUACCCAAACUAACAGUUCUCAUCUUCCCAUGAUUUUGUCAUUAUUGGAGCUCCAGACUUUCCGUUCAGUUGGGAAUCAGAAGGGCAAAUUUUCCUUUUGCAUUAAUUGGCAUCCAAUAACAUAGUAGUGUCUGAAGCAGCCUCUAGUCAGGCUUAACUGUGCAGGCUCCUAUUAGCAAGAACUUUGUCAAACACAUAUGGAUGUACUCUCAUACACAGGCACACACUGUGCUUUGUGAUUGUUUUUUGCUUUGGUAAAGAGAUUAAAAAAAGACUAGAAAUCCUAACUAGCUUUAAAAAAUGCAGCCCAACCACAUCAAUAAAAUGAGAAACAGAAAGGGAACAGCAAGGAAGAAAUCUGGUUCAGCGCUACAGUAAGAGGAACAACUCUGCCACUGUACUCAACAAAAGCAAUGGGCUUUGAAUGUUUGUUAUUAAAUGCUUAAUAUUUUAGGGAUACACUUCACAUUUAAAACUGGCAUUACACAAAGUGGGGAUUGGUUUGUAAAAUAAAUAUAGGUAUGAAGAUGCAAAACAAAUUUAAGCUUUAGCUUUGUAGAUUAUUGUCUGGGAGUAUACUUGCUGUUCAGCUGUGAAGUCUGCCCUUGCCUCCUGGCACACAACCAUCCUCAUCCCAAGCAUCCCAGCCUCCCAAACAAGGGUAAAACUUAUAGGCAUUUUCUAUUUAUCCUGAUUUUUCAAAGGAAAGGAAUUUAAUACUUUUAACAAGGACUGUUCUGUGCCUGUAGACCUGUUUGAUUUACUAGUAUAGCUAUAUAUUUUUUUAUAUAUAUAUGCAUUAACAUUUCCUAUGUACAGGUGGGGCUUGGUAUAGGACCUGUAUUUUAGUAAAGACUGAUUUAGCUUUCUAGCAAAUACAAGAUCAUAGUUGUGCCAAUGCUGAAGGGAUGACCUGAAUAUAGUAAGUCAAUCUGUAGUUUUCUUCUGACAGUUUAGAGACUCAGAGAAAGUCAUGUGUGAGUUUAGAAAUGUCCAAGGUGGGUCAUGCUGUAGGAAAAAAAUGUUGUUAGUCUUGCUUUAUUUCACUCAGCACUCUGGAAGAAAAACACAUCCCAGGGGCCAUCUGAAGGAUUCAUAGUGAGUUGCAGUCUACUGACUACAAAAGCCUUUCCUAAUAAUUUUUCAUGCAACCCAUAGAUAUAUUUCCUAGGCACCGAAAAUAAUGUUUGGGCAUGUUUCCAUUUGCUUCCACCAAUUUUCAACCAAUUUUAAAUUUUUGGAGAAAGUUGAUAAUUAUUAUCUAAAUGGACCUUGUUUUUAAAAAGGUUGCAUAUUACUGAACAGAAAAAGAACAGUGAUAUUUUUGUGUAAAUGAAAGGUCAUUUAUGAGUAUGAAUCUCACUCUGGGCAGCUGGAGAGGCCACAGUCUGCAUGACGAAUGGCAUCCUUCUCAGGACAUUUCUCAAUUUUUAGUGAGCUCAGAGCCAGCAAAAGGACAUUAGGACUUUAUAAGACCCCAUCUCUUAUUUAACAAAAGCAUCCAUGUUGUGACACAGAUCAGUUUUGCUGAGAAAAAAAAACAUUGGUAAUGACUAUGUUUGGUGUCCCUAAUUUGGCUAAUGCUUGGGUUUUUUCAGGAUAAUGUUUACACAAAUUAUAAUAACUUUCCAAACAUCUUGCAUCUGUUGCUUACUUCCUUUGAGGAUCUUCUACUUCCUUCUGUUACAACAGUAAUUGGGAGCAAAUCAGCAGGAAGGAAAUAUACUCCCUGGUUUAGCUAAGACUAUAAUGUUUGUUUAAGUUAGCGAUGCGUGAGUGGUUUGCUAAAGAUUAAUUUUAAAGGUCACUUCCUACUUGGAAAGGAGCCUGUAAUAAGCUUUUCUUCAAGUGAAGAGAGCUUUUUCUUCAAAAUUCCUAUUCUGGGUGGUCUGCGUUAUUCCCAGCUCCCACAGAAGUCAAUGGGAAGGGAUGUUCCAUUGUCACCUGGGGACACUUCUGGCUCCAUGAAAACAAAGAGUGUAUUUCAAGAAGAGAAGCUUUUUCCGGCCUGACAGUGAUGAACCCCACAAAUAUGUCUACUUGUGGAGGGUUGUACCACAUGUGCAGUAUCUCAUAUAAAAACUGUUUCCAGGUGUCACCACCUCAUCUGGGGGGCUCAGCCAUGCCCUGAGAGGGGUCAGUUGGAGACAGCUGGAGCUGGCAGUGUCCUCUCUUCAGUGACCACCCUGCAGCUUCCACCACCAGCACCUUGCCAGAAUGUGUGCAUAGCACAGACACAUGAAUGUGUUUGGAGAUCUGGUGUUGGUGUGGGCUCAGGCUGCAAGGAUUCUCACAGCUGGGAGAAAUAUCCUCAGCUCACACUGACCUGAGUUUCUGCAUGAGUCUCUGGGGGCCAGAUGUGGUACAAUCUAGGAAUUGAGCACAUGAAGUCAGAGAAGAGGAAUUAGGUGCCCUGCAGGGCCACGGAGCUGAGCGGAAUGCGCUGUAAGCUCUUCAAGGACUAUAUAGGAACCUGUGGAUUUUUCUCCUUCUCUGGGUUAGUGUAUGAUAUAAAUGAAGAAAAGUCUUUGUUAUUCCACAAACUGCAACAUGUAAGGUCAGAUCUGCUUGUGUUGCGCUGCACUAUCUAUAGCCUAAAAGAGUGGAAAAGAUACUCAGGAGGGUGCCAGGACUAUCAUCAGAGUGUAUAUUCAUCAGGAACCUAAGACUGAAUUUACAUUGAAAUAUAAAUGUGAUUUGCAGCGUGCUUAGCCACAAGGAAGAGAUGUAUGUCCCCAUUUCACUCUGGAGACACCAGGCUGUGCAAUGCUGAGAUGCUUUUCCUUUGGGCACUCAAGUAAAAGGGAUGAGAAUGUUAUCAAUGGGUCUCCAGAACUGAGUGCUUCAGGUGAACACUGGAAGCCCUUUUGGGGGUUUUAUAACUCUAGAGAGAAAAGACAGGAAAUAUUUUGUACUUUUUAAGUAAAAAGAAGCAAUAAACCUUACAAUGAAUUCAAUAUAGGUGGAUUUUAAAGUUAUGGAUUGAAUUGCUUAUAUGACUAAGAGGAAAAAUAAAAAAUUAAGUAUGUAGAUACGCUAAUUGAUGAGUAUGCAAAUUCCAAACAGCUUACAGGCAGACAGAACCCCUUGAGCAAAGUUGAAACUGAAACUGGGAAUAUUUUUCACAACUUUAAAUUGAGAAAACCAGCUCAGCAUUUUGCUCUUUGAGUAUGGGUUUCCUUGAACAGGAAUCUGAACACUGGGAAUCCCCUCACAUUGCUGUCUGCCUUGCAGAAGGGCAGCAUACAUACUAGGAGAGAGAAGGAGUAGGGAAAAAAGUGCAGGGAAAAAAGUGUAGGUCAGUGAAGACACUGCCCAAACAUUUGUUUUGAAACACUUUAAAGAUUAGUCUGUUUCAUUCAAAUCUCAGAAACUACAACUCCCACAACAAAAUAAACAAAAAUAAAUUGACUUUGACUAAAGAGCACCAUGGAUCUGGCUGUUUUACUAAACAGUUUUUACCUAAAAUGUGUGAGAUCAACCUUUGGCUUGUCAACAAGGUUUGAUUUUUCUUAAAGACUAGCUUGUUCAACUGCUUCAUGUCUUGCCAUGCUGAUUAUUUUAAUAUUUUAAGAACAGACACCAGGAGAAAUGGUGAGCCUGAUACAUGAGUAACAGGUAAGCUCAUAUUGUCACAAUGGUCAAUUUUGUUGCUUCCAUUUUUCAUCUGCCAGACCAUGUAGCACUGGCCUCUGAUGUGUUUGAAAUAUCUGCUGCAUGUGUGUGAAACAUACCUUCCCUGCCUAUCAAAAUUUUACCUUCCAGUAAAAUGAUUACUCUCUCUCUUUUCCAUAAAUAAAAGUGGAGGUGCCAAAAAACACUCUGUAAAACAUUGUGGGAAGCCAGCCAGGAUUUCAAAGAUGCCUGAAACAUUUCAGUCAGCAAUCUGGUGACAUGCUGAGGACAGACAGCAGAAGAAGCUGCUGUCUAUCAGAUAGGGGAGGGGAGCAACAUGUGUCAUGGUCUAUCACUGGUACUCCCUUUUGGAGAGGGAGUGUACUGCCUGCUCCUUUGCACAAUGAUCAAACAGAAGAACUGGAUCUGUAAUUUCAAACUGAAAAUGGAGAUCAUGCUUUACCCUAGUUAAAUCCAGACUAGCUUAAAUUUUGAUCCUCCUCUUGAAUAACAUGGACUCUGAAGAGGCCUCUCCAGACCAGGGGUAGAAAGCAUCAGUAUUUAGUAAAAACCAGUGCAUGGCUGUAAAGAUAUCACAGGUUCAGGCUCCUUCCAGAACAUUUUGGAUAGAGAAAUUUGUUUCUCUUCUGCUAGUGAUAGUUCUUGGAUCCAAAAGGAUAUUCCAUAUAAAGAAGCAUUUAUUGUAAUUUUCAAAUGCUGCUGCCUUUUUAUGAAUGAGCUCUGGUCCCUGAGAAUAGGAGAAAAUUGUGAGAAAUGUGUCAUCAGCUAGCAGAUAGCCUGAGAUCUCUAGUGUUAGUAUACUAGUACUGAUCUUUUGGUCAUCACUGUUUCAGGACUUUCACCCAGAAAUCAUUUUGCAAUUUGGAAUUAAAGCUGGAAAGACUGAGUGUUAUAAACUGACUAAUAAAGUGUUUGGGAGAUUUGAACAGACAUUCCCACUCUAUUCCACACUUGAAAGACAAUAGAAAAAUAGUGGAAACAAGGAAGAAAACUACACUUGGCUGACUUAUGGGAAUCUAGCCUGAAAAGCUGUUUCACUACAUGAGGUCAUUGCAGACACAAAUGUACAUCGAGUACGGGUGGUGGUGGGAUUCACACAGAUUAAAUAAAUGCUAUGGCACAUACUAAAAGUAUUCCAUCUUUACAUUCAAACUGGGGCAUGAAGGGUGCAUCAAAGAGAAAUUUCCUUGUUCAGACCUUUGAAAAGUCAACAUCAUUCACUUGGAAUAUGAAGAGUAGAACUCCAUCAGUCAGUCCACUGGUGUCAGAAGGACUAUAAGACCUCCAUCAGAUUCACUUGCGUGGAGAAGGUAAGUGCAAAGUACAGUCAUAAUGCAAUUAUGUCUAUUGGAUCCAGGAAGAUGCAAUCCAUGGAGGGCCAUUAAGAACAAAGCUGCUCUGACCCAAGAAAUUUCUAAAGAGCAUGCUGUGAAAAGAUGGGAUAGGGAAAAGGAAGCACCAUGACAUGCCUUGAUUUUACUUUUCACUGUGAAUCGCAUAUUGACAAAAUCAGAGGCUGAACUGAACUAGGUGGUUCUUUCUGUCUGACCAAAUACUAACAAAUGUUUCUGGGUCCUCAGGAAAAUGUCCAUAGGGGGCUGAUUACCACUUUGUUCACCUCAUCGGUUUCCUCUAAAUAAGAUAUAGUUGUCUGCACAAAGGAGAGGCAUCCUGUUUGGAGUUAAAAUCUGGAUUUUAUUGUCACUGGAAGAAUGAACAUAAGUUUAAUAGCAUUUCACCUCAGGUUAAAUAUUGUUUACCUGUUUCUACAUUUGUAUUCAUUUGGUGUGGGUUUUAGUAUUCUGAAAAUGUUCUGAAGCAGCUGCCUUUUCUUGGCAAGGUGACUUGGCUGAUCUGAACAAAUUACUGCAUCAGUGAGGGGUUAGCUGUGCUAAACAUCUUGCCCAAAAGAAUAGGAGAUAUUUACAGAUUCAACCUUGCUCUGAUAGUCUGAGACUCCCAUUACAGUGCACUUGGGAAAGGGAAGGAGGUACAUGAAAAUCUUCAUGAUAGACCACAUUUUGCCAGUAGUUUAUUUAUUACACUUCACUGUCUGGAAUUCUCCAUUAUUUAAGUAACCUUUCCUGCUGAAGCUAGUUUUGUACCAUUCAGUGCUAUGGAAAUUAUGUACUCUUUUCCAAAAAAUCGAAAACCUCCUCCCAGUUUCCAGGCUUGCUGUAGGCACUUGGGUCAGCUCUGCCAGAACAGAAUACAUAUGUCUGCAUACUGCUAGAAGUGUUUCUCAGUGGUGCGUGAAUGUACUCUUGUGCACUGUGUAGUUUUGGAUAACAGCUCCUUUCCCAUGCAGCUGGCCGUGGAACAGUAUGCUGCGGCUGUGCUCCCGCAGGGAGACAUAAAAGGAUGGAGUGUCUGCAGCUCCUCAGCAGCCAUAUUAAUUGAAUAUACAUUUCCCAUAAUUAAUUUUUUUUUAUAAUUAUAUAUUUAGUACAAUUUAGUUCAAAUUUCCCUCUUUUACCUCCUUUUUACCCACUCCUUAGAACCUAGGUGACACGUCAAUGUUGUGCAAAGCAAUUCUUGUGCUUCUUGCGCCAGUUUUAUCUGGGGAGACACAUGAGGGAUCACUGCAUCACACAUUAGCUGCAGGAGUCUUUAUAUGAUAGAUUUUCUUUAAGAAAAAAUAAUUAGGCUCAAGGCUUGCUAAACUGUUAGUCAAGAUUUUCCUUUGUAAGAAAUCUUUCCAUCAUUAGACCAAAUAAACGAGAUGGGUGAAAACCCAAACCACUGUUGUUGGUUCUGGGCUGGGAAACAGAAACAAACCUCUCUACAAAGAAAUCCCAUCACAAGUAUGCCUUUGAGUGCUUUCACUAAAUUGAAAGCACUUCAAGCUAUUUACAAGGCAGGAGAUUCCUCUCGUUGUUUAUCUGUGGUGUGCCUCCCUGGUGCGUUGUGUCUAAGCAUGAAUGCGUCUGUUCAUUUCAUUUCUAGCUUACAUCCACAGCAGCUCCAGCAGAGUGACUGGAAGAACUACUAUGAGCAGCCAAAUCUGGAACUGUUUGGAUUUAUUGUCUUUUCUGGGCAUAUGGAUGUUGGUGUCCAAUAGAUGGAUUAAUGGAUGGCUGAUUAAUUUGCUCCAGGCUGUGCCUGGAGACUGUGUCUAGGAGGAUUCAGCUGGAGCCAUUGCUUGCGUGCCUACUCCCUCCAGUAAUCUCUGACUUCUCAUUGCCUCAGUCCCUGGGUCCUGCUCAGCUCAGCUCAGUGCAGAGCCUGGUGUGGGCAGCUGAGAUGAUCCUAGAGGGGGGACAAAAUGGCAUGGCUGUGGAAGAGUGCCCUGUGUGCAUCUUCUUGGGGCUGGAGAUUUUCGUGUGCCCAGCAGUGCAGUGCAGAGAUCUGGAGCCUGCCCAUGGGCACAGUGGAUCAGGACACCCAACUCCUUCUCUCUCAUUUUCCACAUUGUAAUGCUGGCAUACUAACAAAACUUAAUGAAAAUCCAUUCUGAAGGACUCUUGAACAUUAAGAAUGCACAAAUGAAAACCUGACUGAAGGUAGUGAUUCCAGUGUAAUAUUAGUAUACAAAUGUAAGUAAAAUUUAUUGUACACCUGUACAAUAAAUUGCAUCCACUCUGUGAGCCCCAGCUCUCCUUACAAAAUGUUAAUUAUAUGCCAGGGACUGCUAAAAUUAAAACUUGACUGUUCUUUAAUUACUUCGGUUUGACUUUCAAAUCUCUUGUGCCUCAUAUAUUUUCCAUUUAAAUUGUAGCCAAUUAAAAUUUACAUGACUGAACACUUAUAGACUGAAGGAACUAGGUAUGGAAAACACAGAUAUUAAAUAAAAAUUAUUAUUAAAUUAUACCAAACACAUUGCAAUUCAUGCUUCGUAACUGAGCAAUGUAUUCGACAGAACUGGAAACAGAAAGUAAACCUUGUGAGUUUGUGUAAUUGUCACAUAGUUCUGAAUUCCUUAAGUGGCAUGCAAAGGUAUUGAAAAGACCAAUUCAAGAACAGCUUAUAAAACAAAAGGAUAAAGUGAACAUUUGUAUGUUAUAAGCUAUUGGUUCUGUUUCUCUUGUCAAAAUUUAAAAUUAACCUUAAAAAGAAUGAGUCCUACCAAAGACUGCAAAGCAAAUGACACAAAGCCAUCCUAACACAGCUUUUGUUACUGAUGUACAGAUUCUUUCAAGUAUAUGUCCCUUUUAGAUUUUAGAAACAUCCAGGAUUUGCCUUUUGGGACUGAGUUUGAUUUCCCAGGGUGAGUUUGAUUUCCCAGGGUGACAAGACUUUUGCAAAUACAUAGGCUGUUGUCUGAAAGACAGUUGAAUCAUAUGUAACAUAAUAACCACAGGGAUUUGACCUGAUUUUUUUUCUUUACAAAGCUUGAAUUAUUAUUUCAAACAGGGAAAAGAAACACUUCAGACUUAACUUCUGCAUUGUGAAAGUGGGGUUAUUUUUCAGUGCUGUUCCUGUGGAAGGAAUAAAUAUUAUCCCAGUCUCCAUCCAGCUGAAAAUCCCCUUCCUUGGUCAGCACAGAUCACUUUUGGGAUCUUUCAUUGACAGUGCCAUAUUUCAGUCAACCAGAGGAAGAGGGAGCCUAUUCAUCCUGGACAAAGCUGCACAACUGUGCAAUGGGUGGUGGCACCCAGUGGGUCCUGGUUUCUUCAGUGGUGCACAGAUUGUGCUGCAGUGCUGUCAUGGUGGGUUCACUGCCCACAGACAAGUGUUUACCCUGUAAAAGGAUCUUGGGUCUAUCCAGGUUUCUAGACAUUUGAAAUCUCAGAUGGAUAUCCAGGAUUGGCUCAGGAGUAAGAAAAAAUAAAUUGUUCCAAGGGAAAAAGGUACCUACUGAAGGAAGCUUGGCCCUGAUGAGGACCCAUUUCACCUCACUGAAUAUGUAAGACUGUGCAGCAAAAGAAUGUGUUCACUGGCCCAUCCAAUCACUUUUAGCUUGUAAAAGCUACAGUGCAAGUGCAUUCCCUUUUGUGACAAGUUGCUGUGCUGGGUUUUGCACUGGUAUGGGCACUGUCUCUGCUUGUUUCAGGAGGGAAGCAAGUCUGAGUUUACUGAGGGUUAUAAAACUUUAGAGGGUCAUAGGUUGGAAAUGGGGGGGUGUAUUCUAUUCCUGUCAGUUAGAAGUGGGGCAGUUAUCUUCUGUUAAUUGGGCAGUUUUCUUUAUCUCUUCCACAACCAAUCCUCCCUCUGGGGGGAUGUUAAUGGGCCAUUGAGUCUCACUGCAUGACUGAUAAAACUACAUCAUCCCACUCUGAGAAGCUCUGCCCAGAGGGAGGAGCCAAGCAUUCCUACCCGAGAAUAAUCUGAGAUUUGGAAGACCACAGCCAGGCUUUUCCACUGGAUUCCCAGAGAAGGCCCAUCUAAACCACCACUGGACCUUCAGAGGAAGACUACACCCUUCUACAGGAUCGCUGCUUCCACAGAACCACACCUGUCACUCCAGGAGGACUGCAGCCACCAUUUAAUCAGGAUUGCUACCAACACCCUGACCAACAGGGUGUCAGGCUGUAUUCUGACUCUGUCUAUGUUGGUCUGUAUUACUGCAUUGUUUAUUUUUAUUUUCAUUUCCUUCCUUAAUAAAGAACUGUUAUUCCUACUCCCAUA
This is a long non-coding RNA of Haemorhous mexicanus (house finch), 9749 nucleotides long. RefSeq lists it as uncharacterized. NCBI's taxonomy places the organism in Eukaryota, Metazoa, Chordata, Aves, Passeriformes, Fringillidae. The transcript has 7 exons. The record is from RefSeq and is a predicted model, not a curated record.